RNAcentral lists this ribosomal RNA (433 nucleotides) under uncultured bacterium. RNAcentral describes it as "partial 16S ribosomal RNA". It matches the Rfam family "Bacterial small subunit ribosomal RNA", at positions 29 to 507 of the family's 1533-position model. The record is from RNAcentral.
AACGAACGCUGGCGGCAUGCCUAACACAUGCAAGUCGAACGAGACCUUCGGGUCUAGUGGCGCACGGGUGCGUAACGCGUGGGAAUCUGCCCUUCGGUUGGGAAUAACUGAGAGAAAUUUCAGCUAAUACCUUAUAAUGUCUUCGGACCAAAGAUUUAUCGCCGAGGGAUGAGCCCGCGUAGGAUUAGGUAGUUGGUGGGGUAAUGGCCUACCAAGCCGACGAUCCUUAGCUGGUCUGAGAGGAUGAUCAGCCACACUGGGACUGAGACACGGCCCAGACUCCUACGGGAGGCAGCAGUGGGGAAUAUUGGACAAUGGGCGAAAGCCUGAUCCAGCAAUGCCGCGUGAGUGAUGAAGGCCUCAGGGUUGUAAAGCUCUUUUACCCGGGAUGAUAAUGACAGUACCGGGAGAAUAAGCUCCGGCUAACUCCGUG